UGGCUCAAUCAGUAGAGCAUGUGACUCUUGAUCUCAGGGUGUGGGUUCAAGUCACAU
RNAcentral lists this transfer RNA (57 nucleotides) under Canis lupus familiaris (dog). It matches the Rfam family "tRNA", at positions 8 to 63 of the family's 71-position model. From Rfam's summary of the family: Transfer RNA (tRNA) molecules are approximately 80 nucleotides in length. Lineage: Eukaryota; Metazoa; Chordata; Mammalia; Carnivora; Canidae. RNAcentral also lists the same sequence under 1 other name. The record is from Rfam by way of RNAcentral.